GUCACACUUCCAACAUGCCCACGGGGAAAA
This 30-nucleotide non-coding RNA is filed under the name Rattus norvegicus (Norway rat). Lineage: Eukaryota; Metazoa; Chordata; Mammalia; Rodentia; Muridae. The record is from RNAcentral.